Molecule: ribosomal RNA, 1301 nt
Filed under: Enterococcus hirae
Lineage: Bacteria; Bacillati; Bacillota; Bacilli; Lactobacillales; Enterococcaceae
Description: bacterial SSU rRNA
Rfam family: Bacterial small subunit ribosomal RNA
Source: RNAcentral
AGGUGCUAAUACCGUAUAACAAUCGAAACCGCAUGGUUUUGAUUUGAAAGGCGCUUUCGGGUGUCGCUGAUGGAUGGACCCGCGGUGCAUUAGCUAGUUGGUGAGGUAACGGCUCACCAAGGCGACGAUGCAUAGCCGACCUGAGAGGGUGAUCGGCCACAUUGGGACUGAGACACGGCCCAAACUCCUACGGGAGGCAGCAGUAGGGAAUCUUCGGCAAUGGACGAAAGUCUGACCGAGCAACGCCGCGUGAGUGAAGAAGGUUUUCGGAUCGUAAAACUCUGUUGUUAGAGAAGAACAAGGAUGAGAGUAACUGUUCAUCCCUUGACGGUAUCUAACCAGAAAGCCACGGCUAACUACGUGCCAGCAGCCGCGGUAAUACGUAGGUGGCAAGCGUUGUCCGGAUUUAUUGGGCGUAAAGCGAGCGCAGGCGGUUUCUUAAGUCUGAUGUGAAAGCCCCCGGCUCAACCGGGGAGGGUCAUUGGAAACUGGGAGACUUGAGUGCAGAAGAGGAGAGUGGAAUUCCAUGUGUAGCGGUGAAAUGCGUAGAUAUAUGGAGGAACACCAGUGGCGAGGCGGCUCUCUGGUCUGUAACUGACGCUGAGGCUCGAAAGCGUGGGGAGCAAACAGGAUUAGAUACCCUGGUAGUCCACGCCGUAAACGAUGAGUGCUAAGUGUUGGAGGGUUUCCGCCCUUCAGUGCUGCAGCUAACGCAUUAAGCACUCCGCCUGGGGAGUACGACCGCAAGGUUGAAACUCAAAGGAAUUGACGGGGGCCCGCACAAGCGGUGGAGCAUGUGGUUUAAUUCGAAGCAACGCGAAGAACCUUACCAGGUCUUGACAUCCUUUGACCACUCUAGAGAUAGAGCUUCCCCUUCGGGGGCAAAGUGACAGGUGGUGCAUGGUUGUCGUCAGCUCGUGUCGUGAGAUGUUGGGUUAAGUCCCGCAACGAGCGCAACCCUUAUUGUUAGUUGCCAUCAUUUAGUUGGGCACUCUAGCAAGACUGCCGGUGACAAACCGGAGGAAGGUGGGGAUGACGUCAAAUCAUCAUGCCCCUUAUGACCUGGGCUACACACGUGCUACAAUGGGAAGUACAACGAGUCGCAAAGUCGCGAGGCUAAGCUAAUCUCUUAAAGCUUCUCUCAGUUCGGAUUGUAGGCUGCAACUCGCCUACAUGAAGCCGGAAUCGCUAGUAAUCGCGGAUCAGCACGCCGCGGUGAAUACGUUCCCGGGCCUUGUACACACCGCCCGUCAACCACGAGAGUUUGUAACACCCGAAGUCGGUGAGGUAACCUUUUGGAG